This 371-nucleotide ribosomal RNA is filed under the name Shinkaiya sp. RNAcentral's name for it is "partial small subunit ribosomal RNA". It matches the Rfam family "Eukaryotic small subunit ribosomal RNA", at positions 587 to 975 of the family's 1831-position model. Lineage: Eukaryota; Foraminifera; Syringamminidae. The record is from RNAcentral.
AGCUCUAAUAGCAUAUAUUAAACUUGUUGCAGUUAAAACGUUCGUAGUUUCAUUUUCUAUAUUUCAAUGCGUUAUGUUUUGCAUAAACGUUUUUUGGAAUAAAGCAUGAGGAUAUACCUUUAACGUAUGUUUUGGGUUAUUUUCAGCUGCUUUGAGUAAAUAAUAGUGUUCGUAGCAAGUUAGUGUUAUGAAUUCUAUAGCGUGGUACAGCAAGUUAGGGCUUGUUUUGAUUUUUGCAAAUAAUAUUUAGAAACAAGUGAUAACUGAAUAAGAGCCGAUUGAGGUAUUCAUAUUUAACUGUUAGAGGUGAAAUUCUAAGACCAGUUAAAGAUGUCCGAGAGCGAAAGCAUUUACCGGGGAGGUUUUUGUUA